AAGGACCAUUAUACCACCCUGAAUGUCUGAUUUUGGAAGCUAAGUAAGGUCAGGCCUAGUUAGUACUAUCAUGGAAGACCACCUGGAAAUACCUGGUGCUUUA
This 103-nucleotide ribosomal RNA is filed under the name Microtus ochrogaster (prairie vole). Lineage: Eukaryota; Metazoa; Chordata; Mammalia; Rodentia; Cricetidae. The record is from RNAcentral.